RNAcentral lists this ribosomal RNA (253 nucleotides) under uncultured bacterium. RNAcentral's name for it is "partial 16S ribosomal RNA". It matches the Rfam family "Bacterial small subunit ribosomal RNA", at positions 524 to 776 of the family's 1533-position model. The record is from RNAcentral.
UACGUAGGGUGCGAGCGUUGUCCGGAAUUAUUGGGCGUAAAGGGCUCGUAGGCGGUUUGUCGCGUCGGGAGUGAAAUCCACUGGCUUAACUGGUGGCUUGCUUUCGAUACGGGCAGACUGGAGGUAUGCAGGGGAGAACGGGAUUCCUGGUGUAGCGGUGAAAUGCGCAGAUAUCAGGAGGAACACCGGUGGCGAAGGCGGUUCUCUGGGCAUUACCUGACGCUGAGGAGCGAAAGUGUGGGGAGCGAACAGG